Molecule: ribosomal RNA, 492 nt
Filed under: uncultured bacterium
Lineage: Bacteria
Description: partial 16S ribosomal RNA
Rfam family: Bacterial small subunit ribosomal RNA
Source: RNAcentral
AGUGAACGCUGGCAGUAGGCCUAACACAUGCAAGUCGAACGGCAGCACAGUAAGAGCUUGCUCUUACGGGUGGCGAGUGGCGGACGGGUGAGGAAUACAUCGGAAUCUACUUUUUCGUGGGGGAUAACGUAGGGAAACUUACGCUAAUACCGCAUACGACCUACGGGUGAAAGCAGGGGAUCUUCGGACCUUGCGCGAUUGAAUGAGCCGAUGUCGGAUUAGCUAGUUGGCGGGGUAAAGGCCCACCAAGGCGACGAUCCGUAGCUGGUCUGAGAGGAUGAUCAGCCACACUGGAACUGAGACACGGUCCAGACUCCUACGGGAGGCAGCAGUGGGGAAUAUUGGACAAUGGGCGCAAGCCUGAUCCAGCCAUACCGCGUGGGUGAAGAAGGCCUUCGGGUUGUAAGGCCCUUUUGUUGGGAAAGAAAAGCAGCAGGUUAAUACCCCGCUGUUCUGACGGUACCCAAAGAAUAAGCACCGGCUAACUUCGUG